GCCAGCAGCCACAUCACCCUGCAACUCACAACUGGCAACCCACUGAAGCUAAGUAGGUGUGAGCCUGGUCAGUACCUGGAUGGGAGACCUCCUGGGAAAAACUGCUGCUGGAA
This 113-nucleotide ribosomal RNA is filed under the name Lepisosteus oculatus (spotted gar). Lineage: Eukaryota; Metazoa; Chordata; Actinopteri; Semionotiformes; Lepisosteidae. The record is from RNAcentral.